RNAcentral lists this ribosomal RNA (25 nucleotides) under Alternaria sp. MY-2011. RNAcentral describes it as "partial 28S large subunit ribosomal RNA". The record is from RNAcentral. Lineage: Eukaryota; Fungi; Ascomycota; Dothideomycetes; Pleosporales; Pleosporaceae.
UUGACCUCGAUCAGUAGCUCCAAGA